CGGACGGGCACUGUGACUGGGGCUCUGUGCGGGGCCCGUGCCUGCCUCAGGCUCAGUGGAACGUGGCGCUUGGGCUGGCAUUUGGAGGAGCCGGAGCUCUGUGGGGCAGUUCCUGAUGGCACCAGACUCACCUGGAGAGAGACAACACACCAGGGUGCCAGCUCUCUCGUCAGGCAGUUUCCUAUCAGCACAGACAGCCCUUUGCCCACGUAGGCCUGUGUUUAACAAGCUAGUCAGGACACCAUUGGGAGCUCCGUCUCUGGCUGAAGACAUCUGAGAAGGAACUAAGGGUGUUGGGUUGCAUGUGCUAGAUGAGGUGCCAAUGGUGCUGUGAGACAGGAACAGUGCAUGCAUGACCCAGAGGGACACUGCUGCUGAAAUUCUCCGAUCAACGGCGCAGGGAUGCACCAACACUCAAAGUGGAGCACGCACAGGGACAUCACUUGAAGAAGAACACAUUUUCUCCAGCCCUGCAAUCAUUUUUAUGUCUCUUUUCUGCUGUCUCUCCAG
Molecule: long non-coding RNA, 510 nt
Organism: Mauremys reevesii (Reeves's turtle)
Lineage: Eukaryota; Metazoa; Chordata; Testudines; Geoemydidae
Exons: 3
Source: RefSeq, a predicted model, not a curated record